GCGAGAGUGGCGGAGUUGGUAGACGCACUGGACUUAGGAUCCAGCCCUGGCGACAGGGUGGGGGUUCAAAUCCCCCCUCUCGCACCA
Molecule: transfer RNA, 87 nt
Filed under: Desulfobacteraceae bacterium
Lineage: Bacteria; Pseudomonadati; Thermodesulfobacteriota; Desulfobacteria; Desulfobacterales; Desulfobacteraceae
Also listed under: 2 other names
Description: tRNA-Leu
Rfam family: tRNA
About the family: Transfer RNA (tRNA) molecules are approximately 80 nucleotides in length. Their secondary structure includes four short double-helical elements and three loops (D, anti-codon, and T loops). Further hydrogen bonds mediate the characteristic L-shaped molecular structure. tRNAs have two regions of fundamental functional importance: the anti-codon, which is responsible for specific mRNA codon recognition, and the 3' end, to which the tRNAs corresponding amino acid is attached (by aminoacyl-tRNA synthetases). tRNAs cope with the degeneracy of the genetic code in two manners: having more than one tRNA (with a specific anti-codon) for a particular amino acid; and 'wobble' base-pairing, i.e. permitting non-standard base-pairing at the 3rd anti-codon position.
Source: RNAcentral